RNAcentral lists this transfer RNA (138 nucleotides) under Aciduliprofundum boonei T469. RNAcentral's name for it is "tRNA-Trp". The stretch from base 39 to 93 matches the Rfam family "Small nucleolar RNA sR3". Lineage: Archaea; Methanobacteriati; Thermoplasmatota. The record is from RNAcentral.
GGGGGCAUGGGGUAGUCAGGCAUCCUGGUGGGCUCCAGUUAGAUGAUGAGCAGCGGGUCAGCUGAAAGAUGAUGAAUAACUGGAGCGCUGACCCACAGGAGAGACCCGCGGACCUGGGUUCGAAUCCCAGUGCCCCCA